UGGGGAAUCUUGGACAAUGGACGAAAGUCUGAUCCAGCCAUGCCGCGUGAGUGAUGAAGGCCUUCGGGUUGUAAAGCUCUUUUAGUAGGGAAGAUAAUGACGGUACCUACAGAAAAAGCCCCGGCUAAUUUCGUGCCAGCAGCCGCGGUAAUACGAAAGGGGCUAGCGUUGCUCGGAAUCAUUGGGCGUAAAGCGCGCGCAGGUGGUUGUGUAAGUUGGAAGUGAAAGCCCGGGGCUUAACCUCGGAAUUGCUUCCAAAACUGCAUAGCUAGAGAAUGGUAGAGGAUAGUGGAAUUCCCGGUGUAGAGGUGAAAUUCGUAGAUAUCGGGAGGAACACCAGUGGCGAAGGCGGCUAUCUGGGCCAUUUCUGACACUGAGGCGCGAAAGCGUGGGGAGCAAA
RNAcentral lists this ribosomal RNA (400 nucleotides) under uncultured bacterium. Its description in RNAcentral is "bacterial SSU rRNA". It matches the Rfam family "Bacterial small subunit ribosomal RNA", at positions 355 to 772 of the family's 1533-position model. The record is from RNAcentral.